AGGAGGGCACGGUAAUGAAAAAUACGGUAACUAGUGUGCGCCUGCGCGGCCUCUGAAAACUCGGUGGCUGCCAGCUGGCUCAGAUCAGCUGUUGUGGAGGCGCUUGUGUGUAUGUUUCCUUUUACUGAUAAGCGGUGAUACAGUGGCUUGAUUGAUCACAGCCACAUCCUUGUUGGCUGACCAUACAGCACUGGAGUAGGUGCCUCCCUGCAGCAUAUCACCAGCAAGGCUCUUUCAUCAUUCAGAAAGGUACAGACAUGGAACGUGCACAAUUGACUUCACAAUGUUCUGCAAAUUUUUCUCACCCUCCUUUGGUGUGGCAUCAUCAGCACACAAGUAUGUUGACAUAUUGAAGCUUCAUCCUCCGUGAAGAACUGAACCAGGUAUUGGCUGUUUGUACUGAUUACUCUCCAGACAAGCCAGUUGCAAGACACUUCUCCCCACCAAGUUGGACUACUGCAAGCCAUAAUAUAUGUCCAUACGUACUGAAGGAGACAAAGACAAGGAGGAAGAACCUGAGGCACAGGAUCUAUAUUUAGCAAAGAAACUGUUGAAGAGUUUCCUUGAAUGCUUCAAGGGAUUUCUGGUAAACACAUCAUCCCUGAGCCCUACUUCUAUUGACCUUAGCAUCCCAAUCAUCACAGACCUUAUUAAGCAUUCAUUCAAAGGUCAAGAGGACAGUUUUAAGGACAAGGCGCUUAUAAACGUCUUCCUCAAUCUUGGACAUGAACAAAGCUUCCUCAAGAGGAGAGUGGGUGCCCUGUCUAGCAGCUACUGCUGUAAAAUUAUUUUUACAUGCAUCAGGGUGCUUAACUUUUAAAGCAUCACCACUCAGAUGAGCUACCUGGAGCUCAAGAAGCAGUUUGAGAAAAAAGAGAGUAGCAUCAUGGGAGAAAAAAAACGGAAACAUGCUGUCCUUGUCCUCUGAGAAGAUCAAAAAGAUCUUAAAGUCUCCUGCUAUAAAGACGGUCCUUCAAAAUGCUGCCGACUCGCUUGAGAAUGAGAGCUUAAGACCAAUAACUACAUCAAGCUUUAUUAAGCUGAGGGACGCACUCGUAACAAGCCUUUUUGUUUCGCUCUCUAAGGAGAGCACAAGAGUUUAGAGUUCACUGUCCAAGAGUGGAAUGACAGGUCUCAGACAGGAGAUGAGACUUUCAUAAAAAUAAGAAUACACAAGACUAUGACCUAUGGUGGCGCCGACAUUGUGCUCAUUUAUGUCAAGGAGAGGGCACUUAAGGCCUAUAUGCAAUAUGCAAGGCCAAUAAUAAACAUCUUGCCAGCUGGAUUCCUGCCCCGUGUUCAUCACCUCCAGUACAUCCACAAGUCACAAGGAGUGCUGUGGAAAAAUGAAUAUAUCAAACAUCACCUCCAUUCUGAGGAAGCUCUCUCUGAAGGCGGGAGUAGUGUCCAGGAGGGUCAACACCAGGAUGUUGAGAUCUACAAUCUCCUCUGCCUGGAAAAUAAACAAAGUUCCUGCUUUCAGGCAGGAGCUUUCUCAACUGGCAGGCCACAGUUAUGAGACCGCUAGGCUAUACCAUUUAUGACACCAGAGAACAGGCACGCAAUGUAGUGAGCAAGCUCAAGGAGUAUAGGGAGAAGGAAGGAAGGAAGGAAGAAGGAAAAAAAGAGGAUGAGGGUGCUGCACCUGAAAGAGCUGCCGAAAUCUACUCAUCCGAGUAGACUUCGUGGCUCCUCUUCCACCCCCUGUAAUAAGGUGGGUGCAGCUUCAGCAUUGAGAGCAAGGAUCCAUCUCCACACUGGUCUUCAGGAAGGGACCUUGAGUAUUCCAAGCCUUCCUCACUGCAUGGGCCAGGCCAGUGGUAGUGACACACCCAAGUACUCUGGGGGAGAGAUGCAAACCCCAAAAUAUAUAGUCUGCUUCAUGUGUUUACAUUAAUAAAUUUAGUCAG
This is an RNA transcript of Scylla paramamosain (green mud crab), 1910 nucleotides long. RefSeq lists it as uncharacterized. The transcript has 7 exons. The record is from RefSeq and is a predicted model, not a curated record. Lineage: Eukaryota; Metazoa; Arthropoda; Malacostraca; Decapoda; Portunidae.